Molecule: ribosomal RNA, 1393 nt
Filed under: uncultured bacterium
Lineage: Bacteria
Description: bacterial SSU rRNA
Rfam family: Bacterial small subunit ribosomal RNA
Source: RNAcentral
AGAGUCCGAUCCUGGCUCAGGAUGAACGCUAGCUACAGGCUUAACACAUGCAAGUCGAGGGGCAGCAUUUUAGUUUGCUUGCAAACUGAAGAUGGCGACCGGCGCACGGGUGAGUAACACGUAUCCAACCUGCCGAUAACUCCGGGAUAGCCUUUCGAAAGAAAGAUUAAUACCGGAUAGCAUACGAAUAUCGCAUGAUAUUUUUAUUAAAGAAUUUCGGUUAUCGAUGGGGAUGCGUUCCAUUAGUUUGUUGGCGGGGUAACGGCCCACCAAGACUACGAUGGAUAGGGGUUCUGAGAGGAAGGUCCCCCACAUUGGAACUGAGACACGGUCCAAACUCCUACGGGAGGCAGCAGUGAGGAAUAUUGGUCAAUGGGCGCGAGCCUGAACCAGCCAAGUAGCGUGAAGGAUGAAGGCUCUAUGGGUCGUAAACUUCUUUUAUAUGGGAAUAAAGUUUUCCACGUGUGGAAUUUUGUAUGUACCAUAUGAAUAAGGAUCGGCUAACUCCGUGCCAGCAACCGCGGUAAUACGGAGGAUCCGAGCGUUAUCCGGAUUUAUUGGGUUUAAAGGGAGCGUAGGUGGAUUGUUAAGUCAGUUGUGAAAGUUUGCGGCUCAACCGUAAAAUUGCAGUUGAAACUGGCAGUCUUGAGUACAGUAGAGGUGGGCGGAAUUCGUGGUGUAGCGGUGAAAUGCUUAGAUAUCACGAAGAACUCCGAUUGCGAAGGCAGCUCACUAGACUGUCACUGACACUGAUGCUCGAAAGUGUGGGUAUCAAACAGGAUUAGAUACCCUGGUAGUCCACACGGUAAACGAUGAAUACUCGCUGUUUGCGAUAUACAGCAAGCGGCCAAGCGAAAGCGUUAAGUAUUCCACCUGGGGAGUACGCCGGCAACGGUGAAACUCAAAGGAAUUGACGGGGGCCCGCACAAGCGGAGGAACAUGUGGUUUAAUUCGAUGAUACGCGAGGAACCUUACCCGGGCUUAAAUUGCAGAUGAAUUACGGUGAAAGCCGUAAGCCGCAAGGCAUCUGUGAAGGUGCUGCAUGGUUGUCGUCAGCUCGUGCCGUGAGGUGUCGGCUUAAGUGCCAUAACGAGCGCAACCCUUAUGGUCAGUUACUACGCAAGAGGACUCUGGCCAGACUGCCGUUGACAAAACGGAGGAAGGUGGGGAUGACGUCAAAUCAUCAUGCCCUUUAUGACUUGGGCUACACACGUACUACAAUGGCGUUAAACAAAGAGAAGCAAGACCGCGAGGUGGAGCAAAACUCAGAAACAACGUCCCAGUUCGGACUGCAGGCUGCAACUCGCCUGCACGAAGUCGGAAUUGCUAGUAAUCGUGGAUCAGCAUGCCACGGUGAAUACGUUCCCGGGCCUUGCACUCACCGCCCGUCAAG